Molecule: RNA transcript, 2369 nt
Organism: Lethenteron reissneri (Far Eastern brook lamprey)
Lineage: Eukaryota; Metazoa; Chordata; Hyperoartia; Petromyzontiformes; Petromyzontidae
Source: RefSeq, a predicted model, not a curated record
GUGUGAACAGUGUCUAAAAGUGUAGAAUAAACGUGUGUUGCCUCCUACUUAUUAGUGUCUCAGAAGUGACUCACUACACUAACACUGAACUAUUUUUAUUUUAAAAGGUAUAGGCCCCCCUGAGCUAUGCAGCUCUUUUUUUAGAAGUGACCAAAUUAUAAUAGCUCGACAGAAGUGGCUGAUAUCUGUAUGUGGGAAUUCAUAGCAGCAGUCAAAUACUCUUAAACGUGUGAUGUUGAUUCUAAAUAUGGAGGGUAAUAAACCGGAGGACCUGGAGAAAAAUCCACGCGACCACCAAGGGGAGAGAGAGAGACACGCAAACUUAAAAUAUACAGCAGGCAUUGUCAGGGUUGGGAUUGAACCAACAACCUCCUCCAUACUAUGCAAGGUAGUCAACAUCUGCUAGCCACCGUGGCGCCCGGAUUCAGUUUCACGGGGUGGCACUGGGGCUGUUGUUGUUUGGGCCACUUAGUAACCACCUGUGGUCAUCAAGAACCAGACGGUAGACCGUCGGCGCAAACCGUACAGCCCAGAAAAGCGGCGGAUACCGGGAAGGUACCCCCUGGAACGCAUACUCUGGGGACACAGCCAACAGCUGAUAAACUUCAUCAGCUGCUGCCUGCGAUGGGAUCCCAAGAUCCGCAUGACGCCCGAACAGGCGCUGCGUCACAGCUGGCUGCAGACCACAGCCACGACCACCACCACCAGUGCCACCACCAGCACCACAACCACUAGGAUCCCCAGCGCCACCACCAACACUGCCACCACCACCGCCACCACCGCCAGCAGCACCAACGCCACCACCGCCACCACCACCACUGCCAGCGCCACCACCGCCAGUGCCAUCGCCGCCAGCACCACCACCAGCAGAAGGAAUGCCAGCCACCACCACCACCAACACCGCUAUCACCACCACCACCGCCACUCCUGGCUCUGGAGCUGCCGACCCACGAGUGGAGCCGGAGCAGCCCCCAUCAUCAUCAUCAACAUCCUCACCGCUGGCCCAGAACUUGGGAGAGAGGGCGGAGGAUGUGGAGGAGGAGGUGAAGGAGGAGGUGGUGGCGACGGAGGUGGAGAAGAAGACAGGGGAUGAGGAGGAGGUGGAGACAGAGAAGGAAGAGUCUGAGGACUGAGGAGGGUGACGAGGAGGACGACGAAGAUGACGACGAGAAGGAGAAGGAUGAUGACAAGGAGGACGAGGAGGACGAUGACAAGCAAAAGGAUGACGACAAGGAGGAGGACAAGGAGAAGGAUGACGACAAGGAGGAUGACUAAGGAGGAUGACAAGGAGGAGGACGAGGAAGACGAUGACAAGGAGAAGGAUGACGAUAAGGAGGAUGACAAGGAGAAGGAUGUACGACAAGGAGGAGGAGGGGGAGGACGGCAAGGCACAGAAGGAUGACAACAAGGAGGACGAGGAGGAGGAGGAGGAGAAGGUGGAGGAGGUGCAGCAGCAGCAGGAGAAGAGAAAGCGAGGGAACCUGGAGCGUGUGGGCAGGGCACUCCGCUCACUCCGCUCGCUUCUCCGCCGCAUGCUGCGGUAUGGUGGCCGGCCCACCACACAAUAGGGGGUGGCGGUGGUGGUGGAGUCGGUGCCAACCACCACCACCACGAGCAGCCCACCACCCAUCAUCCACCCCCGCAUGAUACCACACACACACCACACACACAGACACACACUACACUCACUCACCACACUAACAACACUCACCACCAUGGGACAGGCUGUGGCAGAAGACUGAAGAGCGGACACCAGAAAUAGACUGGACACUGCACUCAUUGCACUCACCACACGCACCACACACACACCACACGCACACACACUACACUCAUCACACUGACCACACGCAGCACACGCACACUACAUGCACGAACACCACGCUAACCACACUCACACCACACGUACACACACUACAUUCACCACAUGUGUAGUAAGUUCGAGGAGACGAUGUCGAAGUUGAGGCACACUCUGUUUAUUAACCCAGGGACAGGCACAAUAGUUGAAGGGGUAUCGGCCCCUUUCACCCGUACUAUGGGAAACCCACCCUAGUACUAAGCCCUCUGUCCUGUUCCCCAGUCCUCCUCUACUGGGCUACGGGAGGCUGACUGAUCUGGCCCUGGCAAGCACAGAUCUCGGCACCAGCUAACCAGCCUUGCCCUGAUAAGGGCAGCGGUCUGGAAGCUUUUGGGCCGCGCCGCUGGCUUACCCGGCUCGGCCCUUAUAAGGACGGCGAGACCGGGGAGUCCCAGGGCCUAAUCUCCGAGUCUUGGAUCUUCACUGGUCAGCUUCGUGUCGAACUGCCUCGAGCUCUUUGGGUCUCCACCUUUUAUAGGGAUCACCUCCGAGGGCUGGGGGCGUGGGCAAUAAC